CAGCAGCCGCGGGAAAACAGAGGGUGCGAGCGUUAAUCGGAUUUACUGGGCGUAAAGCGUGCGUAGGCGGCUUCUUAAGUCGGAUGUGAAAUCCCUGAGCUUAACUUAGGAAUUGCAUUCGAUACUGGGAAGCUAGAGUAUGGGAGAGGAUGGUAGAAUUCCAGGUGUAGCGGUGAAAUGCGUAGAGAUCUGGAGGAAUACCGAUGGCGAAGGCAGCCAUCUGGCCUAAUACUGACGCUGAGGUACGAAAGCAUGGGGAGCAAACAGGAUUAGAUACCCCGGUAGUCCCUGUCUCUUAUAC
RNAcentral lists this ribosomal RNA (301 nucleotides) under uncultured bacterium. RNAcentral's name for it is "partial 16S ribosomal RNA". It matches the Rfam family "Bacterial small subunit ribosomal RNA", at positions 509 to 807 of the family's 1533-position model. The record is from RNAcentral.